GUGCUUAAGCAAACCCUGCUGAGAGAACUGCUUUGUAGAACACCUCUGCUAACACAGAGAUCCCUUCAAUAGAGGAAUUGAAAGUGCAGUGUGUAAGAGAAACCUUUUCCUUUUCUGAAUUUUCCUGAGCUUACUGCAGGAUGUGAUCCUAGCUUGUCCCUGCCAUAGAUUUCCCUUUCCUGAAGCAUUUUUUUCUAGUUUCAUUAUCUUUUUGUCUAUGUUGAAUCAAAACACUGGAGGCCGGAGGCAGAGUAUUAUUCAGCUGCACUCCAGCCACAGCUAGCAGAAAGCCACGUUUGAUGUUUUCUGAGUAGGGUGAGCGCCUGUUCUCAGCAGAGAUGCCAACAGGGAAGUCAAGCUUGUUUUAUGCAAAGACUGAAGUAUUUCAGUAGCAUAUAGCUGCUUCCCAGGAGCCUCUCUGAAAGGACCAGGGGGUUUGCUGCACACACGCAUCUUGGGAAAAUGCCGCUACAUUUACUAUGGAAAACAUUCUGAAGGCAACAGAUUCAUCCGAGACGACCAGCUAUAAAACACUGCACUCUUUCGUGCCACUUCAGUCACUCCACACAAGAAGCACAAAUAGAAUCUAAAUUUUAAGCAUGUAACUAAAGUCCUCUAGUGCCUUCUGCUGACUUUGCCAGGCCUGUCAAGAUCAUCCUUCCAUCUCAGUCUGAGUAGUCACAUAGAGAUUGACAUGAUUGCCUUUAAGCAGGUCCCAUCCACCAGCGUGACAGACAGCUGUGGCAGAGCACCCGGCCUGACAGGAGGAGCAUGCUGAUGGAUUGCCUGGUCCAGCUGCUGCACGCAGGAGAGCUGGGGUCACACCUGGGCCUUCACUGAGCAUGCUCUGUUGGCUGGCACCGCACAAAAGCAGCGUGUUUAUCUCCUGCUCGCCUGUUGAGGGAGAGUGGCUGGUGAUAUCAAAGUGUUUAUAAAAGAGAAGGGCUAUAAUUUCAGAUGAAAAACCCCUUAUCUGUUCUAAGUUUUUUUUUUUUUCUUGUGAAUUAAGUGCUUUUGUUUCUGUCAUCUCCUAUAUGCUCACACACAUGCUCUUCAUAGGGUGUUCUUGGUUUUUCCACAAAUGAGCCUGUAUGAAUUAUUCUUUCUUUCAACAGGAAAAGAUGUAUCCAGAAAAUAUUUCAUCAAUUUUUGCUUAUAAGCAAAGGAAAAAAGGUUUGAACAGUUUUACAGGCAAACAAAAUUUUCUAAUUGUUAAAUAACAUCUCACAUUAAUUUACCUUGAUCUUCAGAAGAGGGGUCAUUUUUAAUACUGUGUUAGUAACAUAGGUUCUCUGUGAAGUUGGAAAGGCACUCAGUUAUGACAUUGAUAGUGUAUAUUAUUCCUGGUUUAUUACACAAUAUAUAUUUUACUUGUGUAGAGUACAUUUAGAAUUAAACACUUAAAUUUGGAAGGGAAAAAGGGCUUAAAAAGAGGGAUGUAAAAUAAAAUUGCCACCAGAUAGGUAUGAUUACUCAGGAGGGAAAAAUGUCAAUAAAAGUGACUGACGGAAUUAACAUAAUUAACAGCUUUACUAAUAUGUUCUGGAGGAAAGUUCUGUUUAAUCCCAUUUGAAGCCUACAUAAGAAAGGCUACUCUGAAGUUUUCAGUGAAAAACCAACAAUACAUAGAGUAUUUCUUGCUUCUCUAAGAAAUGGAUUGAGAUACUUAGAAUCAUGAACAUCUUUCUGUGGAAAAAAAAUCCUAAUACUUAAUAAAUAUAUCAUGUUAAGUGCUGCUUGUUACAGUGUGAUUGGCAUAGG
This 1761-nucleotide long non-coding RNA is filed under the name Gallus gallus (chicken). Lineage: Eukaryota; Metazoa; Chordata; Aves; Galliformes; Phasianidae. The record is from RNAcentral.